RNAcentral lists this ribosomal RNA (253 nucleotides) under uncultured bacterium. Its description in RNAcentral is "partial 16S ribosomal RNA". It matches the Rfam family "Bacterial small subunit ribosomal RNA", at positions 524 to 776 of the family's 1533-position model. The record is from RNAcentral.
UACGUAGGGUGCGAGCGUUGUCCGGAAUUAUUGGGCGUAAAGAGCUUGUAGGCGGUCUGUCGCGUCUGCUGUGAAAAUCCGGGGCUCAACCCCGGACUUGCAGUGGGUACGGGCAGACUAGAGUGUGGUAGGGGAGACUGGAAUUCCUGGUGUAGCGGUGAAAUGCGCAGAUAUCAGGAGGAACACCAAUGGCGAAGGCAGGUCUCUGGGCCACUACUGACGCUGAGAAGCGAAAGCAUGGGGAGCGAACAGG